Molecule: ribosomal RNA, 468 nt
Filed under: uncultured bacterium
Lineage: Bacteria
Description: partial 16S ribosomal RNA
Rfam family: Bacterial small subunit ribosomal RNA
Source: RNAcentral
GGGGGGGGCGGGGGGCGGGCUUGGCGCGGGCGGGGCGGACGGGGGGGCCGUGCUUGUGUGGGGUGCUCGAGUGGCGAACGGGUGGGUAACACGUGAGUAACCUGCCCUUGACUUUGGGAUAACUUCAGGAAACUGGGGCUAAUACCGGAUCGGCGCUCCUGCUGCAUGGUGGGGGUUGGAACGUUUCGGCGGUUGGGGAUGGACUCGCGGCUUAUCAGCUUGUUGGUGGGGUAGUGGCUUACCAAGGCUUUGCCGGGUAGCCGGCCUGAGAGGGUGACCGGCCACAUUGGGACUGAGAUACGGCCCAGACUCCUACGGGAGGCAGCAGUGGGGAAUAUUGCACAAUGGGCGGAAGCCUGAUGCAGCAACGCCGCGUGCGGGAUGACGGCCUUCGGGUUGUAAACCGCUUUCGCCUGUGACGAAGCGUGAGUGACGGUAAUGGGUAAAGAAGCACCGGCUAACUACGUG